AUCGCUUCUCGGCCUUUUGGCUAAGAUCAAGUGUAGUAUCUGUUCUUAUCAGUUUAAUAUCUGAUACGUCCCCUACCCGGGGACCAUAUAUUAAAUUGAUUUUCGCUACAGGCCAGCCUAACAGGCAUGGUUUAAUUGCCAUUAAUUAAAAGCAUAAAUCUU
This 162-nucleotide small nuclear RNA is filed under the name Cynoglossus semilaevis (tongue sole). RNAcentral describes it as "U2 spliceosomal RNA (ENSCSEG00000008450.1)". It matches the Rfam family "U2 spliceosomal RNA". Rfam says of the family: U2 is a small nuclear RNA (snRNA) component of the spliceosome (involved in pre-mRNA splicing). Complementary binding between U2 snRNA (in an area lying towards the 5' end but 3' to hairpin I) and the branchpoint sequence (BPS) of the intron results the bulging out of an unpaired adenosine, on the BPS, which initiates a nucleophilic attack at the intronic 5' splice site, thus starting the first of two transesterification reactions that mediate splicing. Lineage: Eukaryota; Metazoa; Chordata; Actinopteri; Pleuronectiformes; Cynoglossidae. The record is from RNAcentral.